GAGUGUUAUACAGCUCAUUCAGAAUUUGUCUAGCAGGCAAACUUCCAGAAUUUACUGGAAAGCUCAA
RNAcentral lists this small nuclear RNA (67 nucleotides) under Sorex araneus (European shrew). Its description in RNAcentral is "U7 small nuclear RNA (ENSSARG00000019574.1)". It matches the Rfam family "U7 small nuclear RNA". Rfam says of the family: Animal histone pre-mRNAs are spliced by a different mechanism than nuclear pre-mRNAs and self-splicing introns. This processing involves the U7 snRNP, which contains only one RNA species: U7. The 5' end of U7 RNA is thought to base-pair to a conserved spacer element downstream of the cleavage site in histone pre-mRNA. The record is from RNAcentral. Lineage: Eukaryota; Metazoa; Chordata; Mammalia; Eulipotyphla; Soricidae.